This 253-nucleotide ribosomal RNA is filed under the name uncultured bacterium. RNAcentral describes it as "partial 16S ribosomal RNA". It matches the Rfam family "Bacterial small subunit ribosomal RNA", at positions 524 to 776 of the family's 1533-position model. The record is from RNAcentral.
UACGAAGGGAGCUAGCGUUGUUCGGAAUCACUGGGCGUAAAGCGCACGUAGGCGGAUGUGUCAGUCAGGGGUGAAAUCCCGGGGCUCAACCUCGGAACUGCCUUUGAUACAGCACGUCUUGAGUCCGAUAGAGGUGGGUGGAAUUCCUAGUGUAGAGGUGAAAUUCGUAGAUAUUAGGAAGAACACCGGUGGCGAAGACAGCCCACUGGAUCGGUACUGACGCUGAGGUGCGAAAGCGUGGGGAGCAAACAGG